This 411-nucleotide ribosomal RNA is filed under the name bacterium enrichment culture clone ALO1_GLFRUDD03GYJF7. RNAcentral's name for it is "bacterial SSU rRNA". It matches the Rfam family "Bacterial small subunit ribosomal RNA", at positions 9 to 420 of the family's 1533-position model. The record is from RNAcentral.
GAGUUUGAUCUUGGCUCAGAUUGAACGCUGGCGGCAUGCCUUACACAUGCAAGUCGAACGGCAGCACGGGAGCUUGCUCCUGGUGGCGAGUGGCGAACGGGUGAGUAAUGCAUCGGAACGUAUCCUGGAGUGGGGGAUAACGUAGCGAAAGUUACGCUAAUACCGCAUAUUCUGUGAGCAGGAAAGCGGGGGACCUUCGGGCCUCGCGCUCUCGGAGCGGCCGAUGUCGGAUUAGCUAGUUGGUGAGGUAAAGGCUCACCAAGGCGACGAUCCGUAGCAGGUCUGAGAGGAUGAUCUGCCACACUGGAACUGAGACACGGUCCAGACUCCUACGGGAGGCAGCAGUGGGGAAUUUUGGACAAUGGGGGCAACCCUGAUCCAGCCAUGCCGCGUGAGUGAAGAAGGCCUCGG